UGGGGAAUUUUGGACAAUGGGGGCAACCCUGAUCCAGCCAUUCCGCGUGAGUGAAGAAGGCCUUCGGGUUGUAAAGCUCUUUCSCAAGGGAAGAAAACUUAUGAUCGAAUAAAUCAUGAGGUUGACGGUACCUUGAUAAGAAGCACCGGCUAACUACGUGCCAGCAGCCGCGGUAAUACGUAGGGUGCGAGCGUUAAUCGGAAUUACUGGGCGUAAAGCGUGCGCAGGCGGUUUUGUAAGUCGGAUGUGAAAUCCCCGGGCUCAACCUGGGAACUGCGUUCGAAACUGCAAGGCUAGAGUGUGUCAGAGGGGGGUAGAAUUCCACGUGUAGCAGUGAAAUGCGUAGAGAUGUGGAGGAAUACCAAUGGCGAAGGCAGCCCCCUGGAUAACACUGACGCUCAUGCACGAAAGCGUGGGGAGCAAACAGGAUUAGAUACCCUGGUAGUCCACGCCCUAAACGAUGUCAACUAGUUGUUGGUAGAGUAAAAUCUAUGAGUAACGUAGCUAACGCGUGAAGUUGACCGCCUGGGGAGUACGGUCGCAAGAUUA
This 549-nucleotide ribosomal RNA is filed under the name uncultured prokaryote. RNAcentral describes it as "bacterial SSU rRNA". It matches the Rfam family "Bacterial small subunit ribosomal RNA", at positions 355 to 896 of the family's 1533-position model. The record is from RNAcentral.